This 167-nucleotide small RNA is filed under the name human gut metagenome. RNAcentral's name for it is "Clostridiales-1 RNA". It matches the Rfam family "Clostridiales-1 RNA". The record is from RNAcentral.
GAUGCCAGGGGAUCGAACUCAAAAACCGAUCGUGCUUGCACGAUGAGGUUUUUGAGCUUGGGACCCGCAAAAACAUGAGGAUGCAGCGAUUUUCAAAGAAAAUCAGCGAAUCCGAAUGUUUUUAGAAUUGCGAAAGAUGCGAAGCAACGGAGCAAUUCGUAGGCAUC